GUGAGGAAUUUUCCGCAAUGGGCGAAAGCCUGGCGGAGCAAUGCCGCGUGAAGGAUGAAGGCCUAUGGGUUGUAAACUUCUUUUCUCAGAAAAGAAUUAUGACGGUAUCUGAGGAAUAAGCAUCGGCUAACUCUGUGCCAGCAGCCGCGGUAAGACAGAGGAUGCAAGCGUUAUCCGGAAUGAUUGGGCGUAAAGCGUCUGUAGGUUGUUUAAAAAGUAUUCUGUCAAAGAUUAGGGCUUAACCCUAGAUAGGCAGAAUAAACUUUUAAGCUAGAGUUUGGUAGAGGCAGAGGGAAUUCCCGGUGGAGCGGUGAAAUGCGUAGAUAUCGGGAGGAACACCAAAGGCGAAGGCACUCUGCUGGGCCAAUACUAACACUGAGAGACGAAAGCGAGGGGAGCAAAUGGGAUUAGAUACCCGAGUAGUCC
This 426-nucleotide ribosomal RNA is filed under the name uncultured bacterium. RNAcentral's name for it is "partial 16S ribosomal RNA". It matches the Rfam family "Bacterial small subunit ribosomal RNA", at positions 354 to 796 of the family's 1533-position model. The record is from RNAcentral.